This 497-nucleotide ribosomal RNA is filed under the name uncultured bacterium. Its description in RNAcentral is "partial 16S ribosomal RNA". It matches the Rfam family "Bacterial small subunit ribosomal RNA", at positions 28 to 507 of the family's 1533-position model. The record is from RNAcentral.
GAUGAACGCUGGCGGCGUGCCUAAUACAUGCAAGUCGAGCGAACAGACGAGGAGCUUGCUCCUCUGACGUUAGCGGCGGACGGGUGAGUAACACGUGGAUAACCUACCUAUAAGACUGGGAUAACUUCGGGAAACCGGAGCUAAUACCGGAUAAUAUAUUGAACCGCAUGGUUCAAUAGUGAAAGACGGUUUUGCUGUCACUUAUAGAUGGAUCCGCGCCGCAUUAGCUAGUUGGUAAGGUAACGGCUUACCAAGGCAACGAUGCGUAGCCGACCUGAGAGGGUGAUCGGCCACACUGGAGCUGAGACACGGUCCAGACUCCUACGGGAGGCAGCAGUAGGGAAUCUUCCGCAAUGGGCGAAAGCUUGACGGAGCAACGCCGCGUGAGUGAUGAAGGUCUUCGAAUCGUAAAACUCUGUUAUUAGGGAAGAACAAAUGUGUAAGUAACUAUGCACGUCUUGACGGUACCUAAUCAGAAAGCCACGGCUAACUACGUG